AGGGAUUUAGCUUAGUGGUUCCGGUGUCUGCCUCGCAAGCAGAAGGUCCCAAGUUCAAUCCCUG
This 64-nucleotide transfer RNA is filed under the name Fukomys damarensis (Damara mole-rat). It matches the Rfam family "tRNA", at positions 1 to 62 of the family's 71-position model. Rfam says of the family: Transfer RNA (tRNA) molecules are approximately 80 nucleotides in length. Their secondary structure includes four short double-helical elements and three loops (D, anti-codon, and T loops). The record is from Rfam by way of RNAcentral. Lineage: Eukaryota; Metazoa; Chordata; Mammalia; Rodentia; Bathyergidae.